RNAcentral lists this unclassified non-coding RNA (1005 nucleotides) under uncultured Sebacinales. Its description in RNAcentral is "sequence contains 18S rRNA gene, ITS1, 5.8S rRNA gene, ITS2, 28S rRNA gene". The stretch from base 583 to 1005 matches the Rfam family "Eukaryotic large subunit ribosomal RNA", at positions 1 to 418 of the family's 3401-position model. Lineage: Eukaryota; Fungi; Basidiomycota; Agaricomycetes; Sebacinales. The record is from RNAcentral.
GGAAGGAUCAUUAAUGAAAUGGCAAGUCGGCGGAUUGUGCUGGCGCCCCCAAAGGUGCAUGUGCACGUCCGUCGCAAAUCCACACACCUGUGCACCCUAGACUUCGAGUGAGCGGGUUCGUCAGAGCCCUGCGCCUCGGAGUACUUUUACACACUCUUGUAUGUAAUGGGAUGUUGACGUGCUUAGCACAAAAACAUACAACUUUCAACAACGGAUCUCUUGGCUCUCGCAUCGAUGAAGAACGCAGCGAAAUGCGAUAAGUAAUGUGAAUUGCAGAAUUCAGUGAAUCAUCGAAUCUUUGAACGCACCUUGCACCCUUUGGUAUUCCGAAGGGUACACCCGUUUGAGUGUCAUUGUAAUCUCACGCCCGAGUGCUUUUUUGCGCGAAGGACCGUGGACUUGGACGUCUCUGCCGCGUAACUGCGGCUCGUCUCAAAUGCAUGAGCAUGACCGGCUUGCUUCAGUGUCAUCUGGUGUGAUAAGCAUCUUCACCGGAACCUUGGGACCCUCUCAGAGGAACCCGCACUCUGGCUUGCCUGAGGUCUGCUUCCAACCGUCUCUCAGACAAACGCUUUGACAAUUUGACCUCAAAUCGGGUGGGACUACCCGCUGAACUUAAGCAUAUCAAUAAGCGGAGGAAAAGAAACUAACAAGGAUUCCCCUAGUAACGGCGAGUGAAGAGGGAAAAGCUCAAAUUUUAAAUCUGGCGUCUUCGGCGUCCGAGUUGUAAUCUAGAGAAGUGUUUUCCGUGUAGGACCGUGCACAAGUCUCCUGGAACGGGGCGUCAUAGAGGGUGAGAAUCCCGUAUGUGGCACGGACUCCCUGCGCUUUUGUGAUACACUCUCAACGAGUCGAGUUGUUUGGGAAUGCAGCUCAAAAUGGGUGGUAAAUUCCAUCUAAAGCUAAAUAUUGGCGAGAGACCGAUAGCGAACAAGUACCGUGAGGGAAAGAUGAAAAGCACUUUGGAAAGAGAGUGAAACAGUACGUGAAAUUGUUGAAAGGGAA